UUAAGUUAUUAAGGGCGCACGGUGGAUGCCUUGGCACUAGAAGCCGAUGAAGGACGUUACUAACGACGAUAUGCUUUGGGGAGCUGUAAGUAAGCUUUGAUCCAGAGAUUUCCGAAUGGGGAAACCCAGCAUGAGUUAUGUCAUGUUAUCGAUAUGUGAAUACAUAGCAUAUCAGAAGGCACACCCGGAGAACUGAAACAUCUUAGUACCCGGAGGAAGAGAAAGAAAAUUCGAUUCCCUUAGUAGCGGCGAGCGAAACGGGAAGAGCCCAAACCAACAAGCUUGCUUGUUGGGGUUGUAGGACACUCUAUACGGAGUUACAAAGGACGACAUUAGACGAAUCAUCUGGAAAGAUGAAUCAAAGAAGGUAAUAAUCCUGUAGUCGAAAAUGUUGUCUCUCUUGAGUGGAUCCUGAGUACGACGGAGCACGUGAAAUUCCGUCGGAAUCUGGGAGGACCAUCUCCUAAGGCUAAAUACUCUCUAGUGACCGAUAGUGAACCAGUACCGUGAGGGAAAGGUGAAAAGCACCCCGGAAGGGGAGUGAAAUAGAACCUGAAACCGUGUGCUUACAAGUAGUCAGAGCCCGUUAAUGGGUGAUGGCGUGCCUUUUGUAGAAUGAACCGGCGAGUUACGAUUUGAUGCAAGGUUAAGCAGUAAAUGUGGAGCCGUAGCGAAAGCGAGUCUGAAUAGGGCGUUUAGUAUUUGGUCGUAGACCCGAAACCAGGUGAUCUACCCUUGGUCAGGUUGAAGUUCAGGUAACACUGAAUGGAGGACCGAACCGACUUACGUUGAAAAGUGAGCGGAUGAACUGAGGGUAGCGGAGAAAUUCCAAUCGAACCUGGAGAUAGCUGGUUCUCUCCGAAAUAGCUUUAGGGCUAGCCUCAAGUGAUGAUUAUUGGAGGUAGAGCACUGUUUGGACGAGGGGCCCCUCUCGGGUUACCGAAUUCAGACAAACUCCGAAUGCCAAUUAAUUUAACUUGGGAGUCAGAACAUGGGUGAUAAGGUCCGUGUUCGAAAGGGAAACAGCCCAGACCACCAGCUAAGGUCCCAAAAUAUAUGUUAAGUGGAAAAGGAUGUGGCGUUGCCCAGACAACUAGGAUGUUGGCUUAGAAGCAGCCAUCAUUUAAAGAGUGCGUAAUAGCUCACUAGUCGAGUGACACUGCGCCGAAAAUGUACCGGGGCUAAACAUAUUACCGAAGCUGUGGAUUGUCCUUUGGACAAUGGUAGGAGAGCGUUCUAAGGGCGUUGAAGCAUGAUCGUAAGGACAUGUGGAGCGCUUAGAAGUGAGAAUGCCGGUGUGAGUAGCGAAAGACGGGUGAGAAUCCCGUCCACCGAUUGACUAAGGUUUCCAGAGGAAGGCUCGUCCGCUCUGGGUUAGUCGGGUCCUAAGCUGAGGCCGACAGGCGUAGGCGAUGGAUAACAGGUUGAUAUUCCUGUACCACCUAUAAUCGUUUUAAUCGAUGGGGGGACGCAGUAGGAUAGGCGAAGCGUGCGAUUGGAUUGCACGUCUAAGCAGUAAGGCUGAGUAUUAGGCAAAUCCGGUACUCGUUAAGGCUGAGCUGUGAUGGGGAGAAGACAUUGUGUCUUCGAGUCGUUGAUUUCACACUGCCGAGAAAAGCCUCUAGAUAGAAAAUAGGUGCCCGUACCGCAAACCGACACAGGUAGUCAAGAUGAGAAUUCUAAGGUGAGCGAGCGAACUCUCGUUAAGGAACUCGGCAAAAUGACCCCGUAACUUCGGGAGAAGGGGUGCUCUUUAGGGUUAACGCCCAGAAGAGCCGCAGUGAAUAGGCCCAAGCGACUGUUUAUCAAAAACACAGGUCUCUGCUAAACCGUAAGGUGAUGUAUAGGGGCUGACGCCUGCCCGGUGCUGGAAGGUUAAGAGGAGUGGUUAGCUUCUGCGAAGCUACGAAUCGAAGCCCCAGUAAACGGCGGCCGUAACUAUAACGGUCCUAAGGUAGCGAAAUUCCUUGUCGGGUAAGUUCCGACCCGCACGAAAGGCGUAACGAUUUGGGCACUGUCUCAACGAGAGACUCGGUGAAAUCAUAGUACCUGUGAAGAUGCAGGUUACCCGCGACAGGACGGAAAGACCCCGUGGAGCUUUACUGUAGCCUGAUAUUGAAAUUCGGCACAGCUUGUACAGGAUAGGUAGGAGCCUUUGAAACGUGAGCGCUAGCUUACGUGGAGGCGCUGGUGGGAUACUACCCUAGCUGUGUUGGCUUUCUAACCCGCACCACUUAUCGUGGUGGGAGACAGUGUCAGGCGGGCAGUUUGACUGGGGCGGUCGCCUCCUAAAAGGUAACGGAGGCGCUCAAAGGUUCCCUCAGAAUGGUUGGAAAUCAUUCAUAGAGUGUAAAGGCAUAAGGGAGCUUGACUGCGAGACCUACAAGUCGAGCAGGGUCGAAAGACGGACUUAGUGAUCCGGUGGUUCCGCAUGGAAGGGCCAUCGCUCAACGGAUAAAAGCUACCCCGGGGAUAACAGGCUUAUCUCCCCCAAGAGUUCACAUCGACGGGGAGGUUUGGCACCUCGAUGUCGGCUCAUCGCAUCCUGGGGCUGUAGUCGGUCCCAAGGGUUGGGCUGUUCGCCCAUUAAAGCGGUACGCGAGCUGGGUUCAGAACGUCGUGAGACAGUUCGGUCCCUAUCCGUCGUGGGCGUAGGAAAUUUGAGAGGAGCUGUCCUUAGUACGAGAGGACCGGGAUGGACAUACCUCUGGUGUACCAGUUGUCGUGCCAACGGCAUAGCUGGGUAGCUAUGUGUGGACGGGAUAAGUGCUGAAAGCAUCUAAGCAUGAAGCCCCCCUCAAGAUGAGAUUUCCCAACUUCGG
Molecule: ribosomal RNA, 2822 nt
Rfam family: Bacterial large subunit ribosomal RNA